RNAcentral lists this long non-coding RNA (2153 nucleotides) under Populus trichocarpa (black cottonwood). RNAcentral describes it as "long non-coding RNA (PTRI_LNC002235)". The record is from RNAcentral. Lineage: Eukaryota; Viridiplantae; Streptophyta; Magnoliopsida; Malpighiales; Salicaceae.
UACAAAAUACAUUGUGAGUUAGAAUGCAUCUACUUAAUUCCUUGCAAAAGUAGAUUCCCGUGUAUCGGGUAUCCUAGACAUCUCGUUGGUGUGACGUCCCUGCAGCAGUACAAAACAUUUAAGAGAAAACAAAUACUUAAAAUAAUAAUAAUGGUAACUAACGGCCUAGCAAUUAAAUAAGCAUUAACAUUUAUAAUUUCUUCAUGUAUUUGAUGUAACAAUUAGUAGUACAUAUAGAUACACAAGUUUUCAAAUGCCAUUCGCCGAAACUAGUCGUUUAUUUGUCCCGGCUAUCCAUUCGGAUUCCAUAGCGAUAGCUGCGUCGCUGCCAAUCCUAAAAUCGGCAGCCGAAACUACAUCGCUGCCGAUCAAGGAAUCGGCAGCGAAACUGGGUCGCUGCCGAUUUCUGUAUCGGCAGCGAAGACUGCAUCGCUGCCGAUCCAGAAUCGGCAGCGGAAACUGCGUCGCUGCCGAUUUCUGUAUCGGCAGCGGAAACUAGGUCGCUGCCGAUUUCUGUAUCGGCAGCGAAUACUGUGUCGCUGCCGAUCCAGAAUCGGCAGUGGAACUGCGUCGCUGCCGAUCCACAAUCGGCAGCGAAAUCAUCCCUUUUUAACCCGGCCAUCCAUUCGGACGCCAUUAGCCAAAGCUAAUCAUUCUUUGUCCCGGCCAUCCAUUCGGAUGCCAUUAGCCGAAGCUAAUCACUCUUUUGUCCCGGCCAUCCAUUCGGAUGCCAUUAGCCGAAGCUAAUCACUCUUUGUCCCGGCCUGGAUGCCAUUAGCCGAAGCUAAUCAGUCCUUCAUCCCGGCCAUCCAUUCGGACGCCAUUAGCCGAAGCUAAUCAUUCUUUGUCCCGGCCAUCCGUUUGGAUGCCAUUAGCCGAAGCUAAUCAGUCUUUUAUCAACAAUUAAGCGUUCGACAAUUUAAUAUCGGUUCUAACAAUAUGGUAGUACUCAAGUUAAAAUAUUCCAAGAUUCAACGUAUGAAAAAGAAAGGUGCAAGUCACCUACCUGCUCCACCUGUGGGUCGUUCCUGUCUUGAUGAUGGUCCAAUCCCGACCGCACCACCUAAGACAUCAAUGGUCACAAAUCAGCACAGUUGUAUUUAUUUUAUUUUUGAAUCACAUUCAUCAUCACACUUAUUUCAAUAGUUCAUAUGUUCACAUUCAAGUGUUCCCUAUUUUACACCAUCAUAUCAUGAAAUUGUUAUUAGCAUUUAAGUCAUUCCUGCCUAGGAGGCUUAUUGUAGGAAUCGGCAGCGAGAACUGGUUCGCUGCGGGCUGCCCAAUUCGGCAGCGAGAACUGGUUCGCCGCAGGCUGCCAGUUCGGCAGCGAGAACUGCACCGCUGUUGGCGCCACAGUUUCGCUGCACAACGCACAACUCGGCAGCGAAUAUCACUUCGCUGCAGGAGGUUCAGCUGCGGCAGCGAAACAGAAUUUCGCUGCGCAACACACAAAUCGGCAGCGAAUAUCAAAUCGCUGCAGCAGGUUCAGUUGCGGCAGCGAAUAUUAAUUCGCUGCAGCAGGUUCAGUUGCGGCAGCGAAACAGAAUUUCGCUGCGCAACACAUCAGUUGCGGCAGCGAAACAGAAAUUUCGCUGCGCAACACACAAAUCAGCAGCAUCAAUUUCAGCACAAACACACAAAUCGGCAGCAUCAAUUUCAGCACAAUCAUCACAGUAGAACACAUUAAUUCCAGCAACAAACAUCACAGCAGAACACAUUAAUUACCCCCUAGUUAAAGCCAGCCUUCUGCCAUGAUUUGUUAGAUGUUCUGAAAUUGACUUUAUUUCACUUUUGUUUGCUUGUUCUCUUGGUUAAUUUCAGCUUCCUUCACAGCUGGCUUAGGUCUUAGAUCAAUUCUUUUCUUAGGGUUUUUCUUCUUCAUUUUCGUUUUUGAUCUUACGGGGGAGAGGAAGAGAGUUUCAUGACCCAUACCUUCUGAAUUUAACUAAGUUUGAGGAAGGUUUGACACUAUUCAGCUGCUGGUUCUCCUCCUUCUUCUUCCUCUCACGUUUUCCGGCUCUCUUUUUCCUCUCCUCUAUGCAGCUGCCCACUCCUCUCUCAAGGUCUCAUCUCUCCCUAACAAGUUCACAAAGUAAUCUCUACUGGUCUGAUUCACGUUUCUGUUGUGAAAGGGGAAGGGAAGAACGGCAUGC